GACGAACGCUGGCGGCGUGCUUAACACAUGCAAGUCGAACGGAAAGGCCCUGCUUUUGUGGGGUGCUCGAGUGGCGAACGGGUGAGUAACACGUGAGUAACCUGCCCUUGACUUUGGGAUAACUUCAGGAAACUGGGGCUAAUACCGGAUAGGAGCUCCUGCUGCAUGGUGGGGGUUGGAAAGUUUUGGCGGUUGGGGAUGGACUCGCGGCUUAUCAGCUUGUUGGUGGGGUAGUGGCUUACCAAGGCUUUGACGGGUAGCCGGCCUGAGAGGGUGACCGGCCACAUUGGGACUGAGAUACGGCCCAGACUCCUACGGGAGGCAGCAGUGGGGAAUAUUGCACAAUGGGCGGAAGCCUGAUGCAGCAACGCCGCGUGCGGGAUGACGGCCUUCGGGUUGUAAACCGCUUUCGCCUGUGACGAAGCGUGAGUGACGGUAAUGGGUAAAGAAGCACCGGCUAACUACGUGCCAGCAGCCGCGGUGAUACGUAGGGUGCGAGCGUUGUCCGGAUUUAUUGGGCGUAAAGGGCUCGUAGGUGGUUGAUCGCGUCGGAAGUGUAAUCUUGGGGCUUAACCCUGAGCGUGCUUUCGAUACGGGUUGACUUGAGGAAGGUAGGGGAGAAUGGAAUUCCUGGUGGAGCGGUGGAAUGCGCAGAUAUCAGGAGGAACACCAGUGGCGAAGGCGGUUCUCUGGGCCUUUCCUGACGCUGAGGAGCGAAAGCGUGGGGAGCGAACAGGCUUAGAUACCCUGGUAGUCCACGCUGUAAACGGUGGGUACUAGGUGUGGGGUCCAUUCCACGGGUUCCGUGCCGUAGCUAACGCUUUAAGUACCCCGCCUGGGGAGUACGGCCGCAAGGCUGAAACUCAAAGGAAUUGACGGGGCCCCGCACAAGCGGCGGAGCAUGCGGAUUAAUUCGAUGCAACGCGUAGAACCUUACCUGGGUUUGACAUGGAUCGGGAGUGCUCAGAGAUGGGUGUGCCUCUUUUGGGGUCGGUUCACAGGUGGUGCAUGGCUGUCGUCAGCUCGUGUCGUGAGAUGUUGGGUUAAGUCCCGCAACGAGCGCAACCCUUGUUCACUGUUGCCAGCACGUUAUGGUGGGGACUCAGUGGAGACCGCCGGGGUCAACUCGGAGGAAGGUGGGGAUGACGUCAAGUCAUCAUGCCCCUUAUGUCCAGGGCUUCACGCAUGCUACAAUGGCUGGUACAGAGAGUGGCGAGCCUGUGAGGGUGAGCGAAUCUCGGAAAGCCGGUCUCAGUUCGGAUUGGGGUCUGCAACUCGACCUCAUGAAGUCGGAGUCGCUAGUAAUCGCAGAUCAGCAACGCUGCGGUGAAUACGUUCCCGGGGCU
This 1346-nucleotide ribosomal RNA is filed under the name uncultured bacterium. RNAcentral describes it as "partial 16S ribosomal RNA". It matches the Rfam family "Bacterial small subunit ribosomal RNA", at positions 28 to 1381 of the family's 1533-position model. The record is from RNAcentral.